GAUGAACGCUGGCGGCGUGCUUAACACAUGCAAGUCGAACGGAAAGGCUCCUUCUUGCAGGGGUGCUCGAGUGGCGAACGGGUGAGUAACAAGUGGGUGAUCUGCCCUGCACUUCGGGAUAAGCCUGGGAAACUGGGUCUAAUACCGGAUAGGACGAUGGGUUGGAGGCCGUGGGGGAAAGUUUUUUCGGUUUGGGAUGAGCUCGCGGCCUAUCAGCUUUGUGGGGGGGGAAUGGCCUACCAAGGGGUCGCCGGGUGGCCGGCCUGAGAGGGUGUACGGCCACAUUGGGCCUGCGGUACGGCCCAGACUCCUACGGGAGGCAGCAGUGGGGAAUAUUGCACAAUGGGCGCAAGCCUGAUGCGGCGACGCCGGGUGGGGGAUGACGGCCUUCGGGUGGUAAACUCCUUUCGCUAGGGACGAAGCGCGAGUGACGGUACCUGGAGAAGAAGCACCGGCUAACUACGUG
RNAcentral lists this ribosomal RNA (466 nucleotides) under uncultured bacterium. Its description in RNAcentral is "partial 16S ribosomal RNA". It matches the Rfam family "Bacterial small subunit ribosomal RNA", at positions 28 to 507 of the family's 1533-position model. The record is from RNAcentral.